Molecule: long non-coding RNA, 2519 nt
Organism: Equus caballus (horse)
Lineage: Eukaryota; Metazoa; Chordata; Mammalia; Perissodactyla; Equidae
Source: Ensembl
GUAAGUUGUCUCCCUGCGUCCCUCACGAUUUCUAUUCUCUGUCUCUCCCGUUCCCCGACUCACACCCCGUUCCCCAUCACACCCUUUUAUUCUCUGGAGACUCUGGUCAAGCCCAUGCCUUCUGUGGCCUCGGUCCUUCCUCAGUAUAAUGGCAGGUUUGGGUUACAUCCGGGUUUCCAAAGGUCCCGUCACUUGAAAGCCCCAUCACAAUUUUGCAUUUUUUGUACUGUCCUCUACUUGAAAUUUUUUAAUCUACACAUUCUGUGUUUGGUAAAUGUAUUUUAAAUGACCACUUUAUGUCACAAUUAUAAGUGGAAAACCAACUUCCCUUGUUAGAAAUAGAAGGAAACAAGAACAAUUGGAAAACAAAAUAGUGUUCCUAAGUCCCACUGAGACACUUUUGCCUCCGAAAGGGAGGUCUGCCCUCUCCUCUGUCACGUUCCCAGUCUAUGUCCUAAAAUCACCUCGGGUGCCAUUGGUGGAGCAGACCCCAAACUUUGUCCAACCAUGGAUUCAAGAUCUCUGGGAUCCAGUUCAAUUACUGAUGUUUCUUUCUCCCCCCUCCUUCCCAGCUGCUUUUUAUAACCCCCUGUAAUGAUCAUAACAUACACACAAAUACAAUCCUCUGCACUUAAAAAGACUUUUUUUUUUUUUGGCUCCCACCAGCCCACAGAACAAGGGACCAGCAUUGUUUCGGGAGAGAUAACAGGCUCUGUUUCCAAUGUCCCUCCCCACUGGCCCUGACAGAUACCUCGGUGGUUCCUGACAGGAAAUCCCCUUCUGCCUCAUGGAAAACCCAGACAAGGAAGCAGAGCAGCCCCCAUGGACUGUUCAGGCUCCACCCAGCGUUGUAGAAGUAAAAAAAGGUCCAUCAUCUCAGGCCGGGGUCUGGAAGCCCCUGGGCUCUGACCACACUUACAAGGACACUGCAGCCUGUGAGGAGACACACACAGAACACCAGGCCUCUUACGGUGGCAUCGGCACCAUAGCUUACCAGGUCCACAGUGGUUUUGACUCUUACAUCAACUUGAUGAAGUCUGCAGAGGAACAGGUAUCGCUCCCUCCGUUUGGCAAAUGAGAAAACCACAGCCAAGAGGCUCUGCCGGAGAUCUAACUCAAGGUCAGGACCAAGUUUGUGCUGACCAAGGCUGUGAGAGCCAUCAGACCCCUGGGCAGUGGGGACAACCCAUGCCAUGUUCUGCACUGCAGACUCCCACACGAGCCUGCACGUCCAUCCCCUUUCUCGACACUCCUUUUUCUUGAGGCCAGAAGUCUGGACCGAAGGUGUUGGUAGGGUUGGUUCCUGCCGGAUGCUCUGAGGGAGAAGCUUGUCCAUGCCUCUCUAGCCUCCAGUGGCAGUCAGCAAUCCUUGGCUUGUAGGAGCAUCACUCUAGUCUCUGCCUCCAUUUCACGUGGCCUCCCCUGCUCUGUCUCACGGUCUGUUUCCCAGAGAAACAUUCAUACGUUGUUAGAUUUCAACAAAUGAAUUUUGAGGGGACACAAAUGUGAAGUCCAUCACGCUCAUUAUUUCCAAUAAGACAAGGAUCUUUAGACUCAUCUUUGAAAAUGAUUCUCAAGUUAGAGAACCAUGGAGAGAACAUCAGUGUCCAUCCAGCUGAGCCCCCACGGUAUAGAUGAAUCUCCUCUACAAGCCCCUCUCAAAUGAUUUCCUAGUGUCCACCUAAACACCUCCAUCCACCAUGUCCGGAGGCAGCCAUAGAGUCCUUGGGUCGCCCUACCAUGGAGGAACAUUGUCCUGCUGAGUUACAGUCCAGAACCUGCAGCUCCCAUUCUCAGGCCCAGUUUUAGCCCUGGGGCCGUGUAGAGCAAGUCCACAUCUCUUCUCCAUGGGACAGCUCUUCAGAUAUUUAGCAACCACUGUUCUGGUCUUCCCAGCUCCAGGGUGAACACCGCCCCCAGCCCACCGUUGCAAACACGGUGGGGUCUUCCUGGUCAUCCUUCUCUGAACAGGUCCUAGUUUGUCUCUACCCCUUCAUUUAGAAGUGGGGUGCCCAGAAAUGCAAACAAUGGCCGUCUGCAUGCUGUUCAUCCUGUAACACAGAAUCCAGUGCUGGGAUAACAGCGGGAAGCAAGACAGACAGGGUCCAGCUGUCCUGAAGCUCCUGUUCCAGCUAAGGGGGUGGGGGAUGGAGAGAAACAAAUAAGGAACAUAUCAGAGAGUGAGAGAGGCUCUUCUGAGAGCUGCAGCAGGGGUCUACCAUAAAGCAUGACCAGUGGUCAGGUAGCCUCUUUGCGGGACUGGUGUUUAUGCCCAGGUCCGAAUGACAAGAACAGCUAAAGCAAAGUCCCUAAUGCACCACAGACCCCCUCCUUCACCCCCCUUUCCCUAAGGCCCCACCACCCUCCGAUCCUCCCGCCCCACGCUGGCUCCUAUCUCUCUCCAAAUCACAGGCAUUCCCCAAGCAGGGCCAGCGCCAGAAGGGUGGGCCCUGGGGCAGCUCAGCCACUCUGGGGGCCGCCGAAGGUAAUCACACUGAAAUUCCAGGAUUGAAUUCAAU